AAUGUUGGCAAGAGGCGAUGAGAUAUUUGGUGCGCUUCCAAACAGGUUCUAGCGUUGAAACGACGGACGAUGACAAGAAGAGAAAGAGAAAGAGAAUCUCAAAUUCCAAGUACAGACCCCAGGCCUCUUCUGAUGAAGAGGAGUCUAGUCUUCCAGAUGCACCAGCAGUGCUGUCGUUUGGACAACCUCUUUUGAGCUUUGAAAACAUUGUUCCUGGUAACAAGGUUUCAGUGCUGCCCGAUGCUCCAGAAGUUGCAUCGAUUCCAGAAAACCAGGAAAAUGUUGUGCCAUCUGUAGACUUCAGAGGUGAACCAGGUUUCUCCCCAGAAAUUCAGACUCCACUUCACAGAGCCAAGAGUUUGAGUACAAGUAAGUGAUGUUAUUUGUGACGUUUUUUUGUCUUGGAAACUAUUGCUUCUAUUUAAGAUAAGGAAUCCUUUAAUCAUAAUCUGUUUUUCAUUCGGACACUUGACUGGUUACUCGCCGCAGCAGUUUCUGGAUGAAAGGUGUCGAGGUGUGUUGUACAUUCCAUUAGCAUUGCACAGUUCAAUUAUAGUUUCAUUACUGAAUAUGCAAUACUCUGCACUGAAGUUAAAGCUGUUAUGUUUGCUCUUCCAGCUCGUCAAGUACUAAGCUUUACACCCCCAGCAGCAAAUUUACCCUGGCAGCAUAUGGGUGAAAACGCUGGAGGAGAAAGUCAUUGCUCUGUAAUUGGCCCUUGGACUCCCCUGGCAUCUCGUGUACAGCAUGAAGUUUUCAGCUAUGAAGAUUUCCAGAGACUCCAGAAUGAAAAACAAGCCGUGAUGGAGGAGAACCAAGCCCUUAGGGAGGAGAACCAAGCUCUGAGGGAAAGCACUGCACGAGCAGCUUCGGAUGACAGCGGCUCACUUCAAGAGCAGGUGAAGCAAGUUGGGACAAUGUUGAAGACGUUUGCUCGCACUGGGCAAUCAGGUGCAGAUCAGACCUUAAUGCUGCGACGUCUUGGAGAGUUUGGCGUGAAGGCGGAAAAAGGCGCCGCACAGCUGAGAGGGACCCACAGCCGACCCCUUAAACCUAGGCUGUCUACUGACAUCCCAGCAUCACUGACAACUGGAACCCUUUCUUUAUCCUGCAGUCAGUAACAUCAAGACCCCUAAAGAAGCCAGAAGUGUCAGACUGCACCCCCCAAUCCACACUGUUCACUGUGGAUAUUAUCAUAGUGCUUAACUUAUUAUAUUGUUAAAUAUAGCUUGUAAAUCCUUGUGCCACAGGUCAGCAUUGCAGUUAUAUCUGUUCUACUACUUUUUUUACCUCAGUAUUUUUUAUAUAUAUUUGAAGAUGUUUAUCACAGAUACAAGAGACAUCUUGUACCCCAGGUCAGCAAUGCCAUUAUAAUGGUCUAUUCUACUCCAGAGCUUUAUUCUAAAUUAUUACCACUUAUCUUAUUGUUAGAAAUGGCUUGUAAAUGUGAUGUUAUACCUGAAUUUUUUUUGGUGUCCUGCACAUUCUUUGGUACCAGAUAUACUCAUUACUUAUGUUUACUGGUAAUUCUUUUCAUGCCAGAGCUGACCUCUUUAUAUUAUUAACAAUUAUUGUAAGUGUUAUAAUUUGCUUGUAAGCUAAGGCUGUUUUUUUUUUUUUUUUUACAAUUUAAUUGGAAACCUGCAUGUGUGUGUGUGUGUGUGUGUAUUUAUUUAUUUAUUUUUUCUCUUUUUUUCUGUUAUUUAUAUUUCAGGGAUCUGACAUCAUGUUUCAAUGACAGUUACUGUACUUUGAAAUGUGGAAUUAAAACGUCAAAUGGAAAUUUGUCUGGUUUGAUCAAUCAUUAUUCUUGAUAAACUGCAUAAUAUAUAUAUAUAUAAUAUAUAUAUAAAUAAAUAAAUAAGCAAGCGGCGACCGAUCGCUCGAAAAUAGCGUUUGCCUCCGACGGGCCGCGGAAGGGUCGCCUUUGAUAUAACGGCGGCGGGACGGCGGUUGGCCCGCGGGCCGGCCGCGGAACGAAGGCGGUAGGAAGGCGGCUGCCGCUUCUAAAAAGCGGCUGCCGCCGGCGGUGCACCGUCAAACGUGUUUGCGAUUACGCUAUUCUGACGCUUCUACUGCCGCCGGCGGUCCGCCGACUCAUUGCUAUCUGGGUUGCGCACCUGCUUUUAAAGGGAAUGUUGGAUGACGCUCUGAUUUGUUUAUUUCACGUUACGCCCAAACCACACCUAUGAAUAAUGAAGCUACUUCAGACCAACCCAUUUUAGAUUUGCGCCGGGCGCAAGAGCCAUUUAUCCCGCCGGGAAAAUAGCAACAGCGCCGAGACCCGCCCACAAAGUUACUUGCGCUUCGCGCUUUGACACUUGCGUUUCAGAUCGUUA
Molecule: long non-coding RNA, 2339 nt
Filed under: Carassius auratus (goldfish)
Lineage: Eukaryota; Metazoa; Chordata; Actinopteri; Cypriniformes; Cyprinidae
Description: lncRNA (ENSCARG00000062387.1)
Source: RNAcentral